RNAcentral lists this ribosomal RNA (407 nucleotides) under Aoraki denticulata. RNAcentral describes it as "partial 16S ribosomal RNA". The record is from RNAcentral. Lineage: Eukaryota; Metazoa; Arthropoda; Arachnida; Opiliones; Pettalidae.
UAAAUUGUUCAUUAAUUGUGAACUGGAAUGAAGGAAAAAAUGGUUUAAAUCUGUCUUAAAUAUUAUAUAUUAAAUUUAAAUUUUUUGUAAAAAUACAAAAAUGUCAUUUAGGGACAAGAAGACCCUAUAAAGCUUAUUUGAGAUUAUUACAUAAUGUGUGAUUAAAAUCAAUUUGAUUGGGGCAAUAAUUUAUAAAUAAUUAAUAUAAAUUUAAUUUAAGUAAUUAUAUAUUUAUAUAAUGAUCCAUUAAUAAUGAAAAAUGAUGAAGUUACUUUAGGGAUAACAGGAUAAUUUUUAUUAGAAAGUUCUUAUUAAUAAUAAAGUUUAUUACCUCGAUGUUGAAUUAAUUUAAUUAAAUGGUGAAGUAGCCAUUUUUAAUUUGACUGUUCGUCAAUUAAAUAAUUACA